Molecule: long non-coding RNA, 734 nt
Organism: Triticum dicoccoides
Lineage: Eukaryota; Viridiplantae; Streptophyta; Magnoliopsida; Poales; Poaceae
Exons: 3
Source: RefSeq, a predicted model, not a curated record
AGCUGCUGUAGUACCUGCACCUGGUGAGGUUGGUGGUGCGCUACUACAUGCCUCUACAACAAGACACGGUGGCAUGCUAAAUGGAGCUUUGAGCAGCAGCACAUCGUGGGGAGAGGACGGAUGUGGUGGUCUGGGAGCCUCGGGCUCCACUACAUCUGCCGCUAGAAGCAGCAACAGAACGCGUUGUUCGACUGUGCCAGCCUUGGCGGUGAUCUCGACGAUUGCAUGGAGUGGAAGACUUUGCAGUGUAGCAAGGUUGCUCAGGAGCUGCUGAAGGGAAACAACCCUGGAUGUCACAGGCUGAAGGAGGAGGUCUUACACAUCUUCUUGGUUCAGGACUUGAGAAAUAAGGUGAAGAAAAAGGAAAAAGACCUGCUAAUCUUUCCCUUCACCGUUGGAUGUCGGUCGAAUGGUUGAUGGCAGGGGGAACUCACUCGACGUAUCGAAGCUACUGUAUGGACUAAGAGAUGUUUAGAGAUAGGCAUUUUGUUGUUAAUUUUUCCUUGUCUGUAGGGUGUGGGCCGAAUGGUCUUGUUCCUGGGAGUUUGUAAAAUUUGGAUUGAAUGGCGAUAUUGGUAUAGUCUCAGUGAGUGCUACAUAUGUACCACCAUUGUAAAAUUUGAUUUGAAUUGUAUCGUGCAGCAAGGAGUUAGUGGUUAGUAAACAGAUUGGAUUUAUUGGCUGUCAUUUUGGCUCAUGUGUCCUUGUACCUUUCUAGCAUGUUGUGAUGCCAA